AAGUCGUAACAAGGUUUCCGUAGGUGAACCUGCGGAAGGAUCAUUACCAUUCUAUUACUGAAGUCCUGCACUUUCGAGAGAACGGCAGGCGACUACCGAUGAGCAAGCGUAGCGCGGUUCCGCGUUGCGUGAGGGAGUCGGGCAUGCUGAUACGAGUGCCCGUCUCUAGCGCCGUUCCCCCAUCAUCGAUGAUCAUCAUUGUUGUUGGUGGUGGGGAGCUCUGAGGACGGACACGGUGCUACUUUCACCGGACCCUGUGCUUGAAAAGGAACCAUAAUGCAGUACAACUGCAAACGGUGGAUCACUCGGCUC
RNAcentral lists this unclassified non-coding RNA (312 nucleotides) under fungal sp. RNAcentral describes it as "partial internal transcribed spacer region". The stretch from base 1 to 46 matches the Rfam family "Eukaryotic small subunit ribosomal RNA", at positions 1786 to 1831 of the family's 1831-position model. Lineage: Eukaryota; Fungi. The record is from RNAcentral.